This 506-nucleotide ribosomal RNA is filed under the name uncultured bacterium. RNAcentral's name for it is "partial 16S ribosomal RNA". It matches the Rfam family "Bacterial small subunit ribosomal RNA", at positions 29 to 523 of the family's 1533-position model. The record is from RNAcentral.
AGUGAACGCUGGCGGUAGGCCUAACACAUGCAAGUCGAACGGCAGCACAGGAGAGCUUGCUCUCUGGGUGGCGAGUGGCGGACGGGUGAGGAAUACAUCGGAAUCUACUCUGUCGUGGGGGAUAACGUAGGGAAACUUACGCUAAUACCGCAUACGACCUACUGGUGAAAGCAGGGGAUCUUCGGACCUUGCGCGAUUGAAUGAGCCGAUGUCGGAUUAGCUAGUUGGCGGGGUAAAGGCCCACCAAGGCGACGAUCCGUAGCUGGUCGGGGAGGAUGAUCAGCCACACUGGAACUGAGACACGGUCCAGACUCCUACGGGAGGCAGCAGUGGGGAAUAUUGGACAAUGGGCGCAAGCCUGAUCCAGCCAUACCGCGUGGGUGAAGAAGGCCUUCGGGUUGUAAAGCCCUUUUGUUGGGAAAGAAAUCCAGCUGGCUAAUACCCGGUUGGGAUGACGGUACCCAAAGAAUAAGCACCGGCUAACUUCGUGCCAGCCGCCGCAGUAA